GAUGAACGCUAGCGGGAGGCCUAACACAUGCAAGCCGAGCGGUAUUGUUUCUUCGGAAAUGAGAGAGCGGCGUACGGGUGCGGAACACGUGUGCAACCUGCCUUUAUCUGGGGGAUAGCCUUUCGAAAGGAAGAUUAAUACUCCAUAAUAUAUUGAACGGCAUCGUUUAAUAUUGAAAGCUCCGGCGGAUAGAGAUGGGCACGCGCAAGAUUAGCUAGUUGGUGAGGUAACGGCUCACCAAGGCGAUGAUCUUUAGGGGGCCUGAGAGGGUGAUCCCCCACACUGGUACUGAGACACAGACCAGACUCCUACGGGAGGCAGCAGUGAGGAAUAUUGGUCAAUGGGUGCAAGCCUGAACCAGCCAUCCCGCGUGAAGGACGACUGCCCUAUGGGUUGUAAACUUCUUUUGUAUAGGGAUAAACCUACCCUCGUGAGGGUAGCUGAAGGUACUAUACGAAUAAGCACCGGCUAACUCCGUGCCAGCAGCCGCGGUAAUACGGAGGGUGCAAGCGUUAUCCGGAUUUAUUGGGUUUAAAGGGUCCGUAGGCGGACUUAUAAGUCAGUGGUGAAAGCCUGUCGCUUAACGAUAGAACUGCCAUUGAUACUGUAAGUCUUGAGUAUAUUUGAGGUAGCUGGAAUAAGUAGUGUAGCGGUGAAAUGCAUAGAUAUUACUUAGAACACCAAUUGCGAAGGCAGGUUACCAAGAUAUAACUGACGCUGAGGGACGAAAGCGUGGGGAGCGAACAGGAUUAGAUACCCUGGUAGUCCACGCCGUAAACGAUGCUAACUCGUUUUUGGGCUUUAGGGUUCAGAGACCAAGCGAAAGUGAUAAGUUAGCCACCUGGGGAGUACGCUCGCAAGAGUGAAACUCAAAGGAAUUGAUGGGGGCCCGCACAAGCGGUGGAUUAUGUGGUUUAAUUCGAUGAUACGCGAGGAACCUUACCAAGACUUAAAUGGGAAUUGACAGCUUUAGAAAUAGAGCUUUCUUCGGACAAUUUUCAAGGUGCUGCAUGGUUGUCGUCAGCUCGUGCCGUGAGGUGUUAGGUUAAGUCCUGCAACGAGCGCAACCCCUGUCACUAGUUGCCAUCAUUCAGUUGGGGACUCUAGUGAGACUGCCUACGCAAGUAGAGAGGAAGGUGGGGAUGACGUCAAAUCAUCACGGCCCUUACGUCUUGGGCCACACACGUAAUACAAUGGCCGGUACAGAGGGCAGCUACACAGCGAUGUGAUGCAAAUCUCGAAAGCCGGUCUCAGUUCGGAUUGGAGUCUGCAACUCGACUCUAUGAAGCUGGAAUCGCUAGUAAUCGCGCAUCAGCCAUGGCGCGGUGAAUACGUUCCCGGGCCU
This 1345-nucleotide ribosomal RNA is filed under the name uncultured bacterium. RNAcentral's name for it is "bacterial SSU rRNA". It matches the Rfam family "Bacterial small subunit ribosomal RNA", at positions 28 to 1381 of the family's 1533-position model. The record is from RNAcentral.